This 464-nucleotide ribosomal RNA is filed under the name uncultured bacterium. RNAcentral's name for it is "bacterial SSU rRNA". It matches the Rfam family "Bacterial small subunit ribosomal RNA", at positions 41 to 518 of the family's 1533-position model. The record is from RNAcentral.
GGCGUGCCUAACACAUGCAAGUCGAACGGAGUUGAGGAGCUUGCUCCUAACGUUAGUGGCGGACGGGUGAGUAACGCGUGAGUAACCUGCCUCUGAGAGGGGAAUAACGUUCUGAAAAGAACGCUAAUACCGCAUGACACAUAUUUGCCGCAUGACAGAUAUGUCAAAGAUUUUAUCGCUCAGAGAUGGACUCGCGUCCGAUUAGUUAGUUGGUGAGGUAACGGCUCACCAAGACCGCGAUCGGUAGCCGGACUGAGAGGUUGAACGGCCACAUUGGGACUGAGACACGGCCCAGACUCCUACGGGAGGCAGCAGUGGGGGAUAUUGCGCAAUGGGGGCAACCCUGAACCGCAGCAACGCCGCGUGAAGGAUGAAGGUUUUCGGAUUGUAAACUUCUUUUCUCAGGGACGAAAUCUGACGGUACCUGAGGAAUAAGCUCCGGCUAACUACGUGCCAGCAGCCGC